GUGAAUUGAAUAUGUUAGCGGACCUCUUCGGAGUCCCUAGCAUCAAAUCAUAUCCAUAACACCUGUGAACUGCAAGGCUGUCUUGAAAACGAAAGUGAUUAGAGCGCCUGCCCAUUUUAUACAAACAUUAAAGUAACAAACGUAGUCUUAUUAUAAUCUAAU
RNAcentral lists this unclassified non-coding RNA (162 nucleotides) under soil metagenome. RNAcentral's name for it is "partial internal transcribed spacer 1". The record is from RNAcentral.